GACGAACGCUGGCGGCGUGCUUAACACAUGCAAGUCGAACGGAAAGGCCCUGCUUUUGUGGGGUGCUCGAGUGGCGAACGGGUGAGUAACACGUGAGUAACCUGCCCUUGACUUUGGGAUAACUUCAGGAAACUGGGGCUAAUACCGGAUAGGAGCUCCUGCUGCAUGGUGGGGGUUGGAAAGUUUCGGCGGUUGGGGAUGGACUCGCGGCUUAUCAGCUUGUUGGUGGGGUAGUGGCUUACCAAGGCUUUGACGGGUAGCCGGCCUGAGAGGGUGACCGGCCACAUUGGGACUGAGAGACGGCCCAGACUCCUACGGGAGGCAGAAGUGGGGAGUAUUGCACAAUGGGCGGAAGCCUGAUGCAGCAACGCCGCGUGCGGGAUGACGGCCUUCGGGUUGUAAACCGCUUUCGCCUGUGACGAAGCGUGAGUGACGGUAAUGGGUAAAGAAGCACCGGCUAACUACGUG
Molecule: ribosomal RNA, 468 nt
Filed under: uncultured bacterium
Lineage: Bacteria
Description: partial 16S ribosomal RNA
Rfam family: Bacterial small subunit ribosomal RNA
Source: RNAcentral